GGGAGGAUGGCUCAGUGGUAGAGGGCUUGCCUUGCAUGCAUGAGGCCCUGGGUUCGAUUCCUCAGCACCACCA
Molecule: non-coding RNA, 73 nt
Organism: Dipodomys ordii (Ord's kangaroo rat)
Lineage: Eukaryota; Metazoa; Chordata; Mammalia; Rodentia; Heteromyidae
Source: Rfam